UUGAAAGGCAGGAAGUAACAAUUCUGGGUCACUAUCUUUUCCAAGCUCUUCUUUGAGUUUUAGUAACAGAUUGGUUGCUUUAUUCUUUGAGAUCUGAAAAUGAAUGAAGAAAUUGGUGGCAGUGAAGUGCACGAGAUUAUGUGCCAUGCCAUUUGUUCUCAUAGAAUAAUUGAGGAAAUUAGAAAAAAAGGCAAAAUUCAAUGUUUUCUUAAAAAAAUGACUACAAAACUCUUUGCAAGAGUUCACAGCAAACUUCAAAUAAAUAGAGAAGAUGUCAACUACAAAAUUGCUAAGGGAGGAACUUAGGACACUGACUCUGAGGGCUUAGGUGUUAGCAGAUUAGGGGCACAUGAGUCUGGAUUUUGGGGCUUGUCUUCCAUGAUUGGGAGAAAAAGGAAAGUCUGAGUGAGAAACACAGUGAGAGCCAGAGUAUCCAGGAUCGUCUGCAACAUUAUACAUUACAGGAGGACUCGACUACAAGAAAACUCAGUGUUGCUGAGAGCACCCAAGAGGAAGCAGAGGAGGACUCAAGUACAAGAAAACUCAGUGUUGCUGAGAGCACCCAAGAGGAAAAAGAGGAGGACUCAAGUACAAGAAAACUCACUGUUGCUGAGAGCACCCAAGAGGAAACAGAGGAGGACUCAUCUUCAAGAAAACUCAGUGCUGCUGAGAGUACCCAAGAGGAAAAAGAGGAGGACUCAUCUUCAAGAAAACUCAGUGCUGCUGAGAGUACCCAAGAGGAAAAAGAGGAGGACUCAUCUUCAAGAAAACUCAGUGCUGCUGAGAGUACCCAAGAGGAAAAAGAGGAGGACUCAUCUUCAAGAAAACUCAGUGCUGCUGAGAGUACCCAAGAGGAAAAAGAGGAGGACUCAUCUUCAAGAAAACUCAGUGCUGCUGAGAGUACCCAAGAGGAAAAAGAGGAGGACUCAUCUUCAAGAAAACUCAGUGCUGCUGAGAGUACCCAAGAGGAAAAAGAGGAGGACUCAUCUUCAAGAAAACUCAGUGCUGCUGAGAGUACCCAAGAGGAAAAAGAGGAGGACUCACCUACAAGAAAACUCAGUGCUGCUGAGAGCACCCAAGAGGAAAAAGAGGUGAGCAGGACUAAAAGCAACAAAAUGGUGGGGAGGGAGAACACAUCUGCACAGUUAUUCUACAUUGCGGCUACCCAUUCUUUGUCACAGAAUUAUAACUUUACAGUAGGAAUAAAAGCCCCAAAGUAAUUUGACCAAGAUGAUUCUUGGCCUUGCUGGUUAGCAUUCAACCCUACUUACCCUCCCAACAAGGAAAGCUUGAACUUUCUUGGCACAUUCUCUGAAAAAGAGUGUAUUUCUUCUCCAAUCAGAGAAAGGGGUUUUUCAAGGUUCAGUCACAAAAAUAACCAGUCAAAAGCUACAUUCAGCCUGACCCUACCUAAUGCAACCUCUGAUUUCAGAUUGACUACCGAGGUGGUUGCUUGGUUAUUUUAAAGGUGAAAUUCAGGUAGAAAGG
Molecule: long non-coding RNA, 1488 nt
Filed under: Monodelphis domestica (gray short-tailed opossum)
Lineage: Eukaryota; Metazoa; Chordata; Mammalia; Didelphimorphia; Didelphidae
Description: lncRNA (ENSMODG00000041500.1)
Source: RNAcentral